UGCUGGAGGUAUCAGAAGUGCGAAUGCUGACAUAAGUAACGAUAAAGCGGGUGAAAAGCCCGCUCGCCGGAAGACCAAGGGUUCCUGUCCAACGUUAAUCGGGGCAGGGUGAGUCGACCCCUAAGGCGAGGCCGAAAGGCGUAGUCGAUGGGAAACAGGUUAAUAUUCCUGUACUUGGUGUUACUGCGAAGGGGGGACGGAGAAGGCUAUGUUAGCCGGGCGACGGUUGUCCCGGUUUAAGCAUGUAGGCUGGUUAUCCAGGCAAAUCCGGAUAAUCAAGGCUGAGGUGUGAUGACGAGGCACUACGGUGCUGAAGUAACAAAUGCCCUGCUUCCAGGAAAAGC
RNAcentral lists this ribosomal RNA (344 nucleotides) under Klebsiella pneumoniae. RNAcentral describes it as "partial 23S ribosomal RNA". It matches the Rfam family "Bacterial large subunit ribosomal RNA", at positions 1271 to 1618 of the family's 2925-position model. Lineage: Bacteria; Pseudomonadati; Pseudomonadota; Gammaproteobacteria; Enterobacterales; Enterobacteriaceae. The record is from RNAcentral.